CAUCGCCUGCGGUGUUCGACUGUUUCCCUAAUCCCUUAGAACCUAAAUGACAUAUCGGGGAUUGCCUUGCAGGCGUUGUUGUGCAGGUCCGGAUUGUUUGAUGACCGGAAAGCCUUAAGAUGUCGCAGGUGCCCCACCUGAACCUAUUGGUUCAAGGUACCCGGAACGGUACGGCACAAGCGGGCGAUGC
This 190-nucleotide non-coding RNA is filed under the name Arenicellales bacterium. Its description in RNAcentral is "6S RNA". It matches the Rfam family "6S / SsrS RNA". From Rfam's summary of the family: E. coli 6S RNA was the first non coding RNA to be sequenced, but its function was unknown until recently. It consists of 184 nucleotides that fold into an extended hairpin structure with a large single-stranded internal bulge. Lineage: Bacteria; Pseudomonadati; Pseudomonadota; Gammaproteobacteria; Arenicellales. The record is from RNAcentral.